GGAAAGAUGCUCGAGUGGCUUAAGAGGCACGCCUGGAAAGCGUGUAGGCGCCAAAAGUGCCACGGGGGUUCGAAUCCCCCUCUUUCCG
Molecule: transfer RNA, 88 nt
Filed under: Prevotella sp. CAG:1058
Lineage: Bacteria; Pseudomonadati; Bacteroidota; Bacteroidia; Bacteroidales; Prevotellaceae
Rfam family: tRNA
About the family: Transfer RNA (tRNA) molecules are approximately 80 nucleotides in length. Their secondary structure includes four short double-helical elements and three loops (D, anti-codon, and T loops).
Source: Rfam by way of RNAcentral